UACGUAGGGCGCAAGCGUUAUCCGGAAUUAUUGGGCGUAAAGAGCUCGUAGGCGGUUUGUCGCGUCUGCUGUGAAAUCCCGAGGCUCAACCUCGGGCCUGCAGUGGGUACGGGCAGACUGGAGUGCGGUAGGGGAGAAUGGAAUUCCUGGUGUAGCGGUGGAAUGCGCAGAUAUCAGGAGGAACACCGAUGGCGAAGGCAGUUCUCUGGGCCGUAACUGACGCUGAGGUGCGAAAGCGUGGGGAGCAAACAGG
This 253-nucleotide ribosomal RNA is filed under the name uncultured bacterium. RNAcentral's name for it is "partial 16S ribosomal RNA". It matches the Rfam family "Bacterial small subunit ribosomal RNA", at positions 524 to 776 of the family's 1533-position model. The record is from RNAcentral.